This 27-nucleotide non-coding RNA is filed under the name Rattus norvegicus (Norway rat). Lineage: Eukaryota; Metazoa; Chordata; Mammalia; Rodentia; Muridae. The record is from RNAcentral.
UAGUAUUUUGGGAAGCUGAGGCCUUUC